This is a non-coding RNA of Balaenoptera musculus (blue whale), 73 nucleotides long. The record is from the annotation of a RefSeq genome assembly. NCBI's taxonomy places the organism in Eukaryota, Metazoa, Chordata, Mammalia, Artiodactyla, Balaenopteridae.
UCCCUGGUGGUCCAGUGGUUAAGACUCUGUGCUGUUGAUGCAGGGGGCCUGGGUUCGAUCCCUGGUUGGGGAA